UGCGGGGAAUACAUACGCAAUCUCAGCUGAUUCUGUUAUGAAAACGGUUUGAUGCAAAUUUGCGACGGUAGACGUUAAGGGGUUUAAAAUCUUGUUAAAAU
Long non-coding RNA from Sphaeramia orbicularis (orbiculate cardinalfish), 101 nucleotides. RefSeq lists it as uncharacterized. The transcript has 3 exons. Lineage: Eukaryota; Metazoa; Chordata; Actinopteri; Kurtiformes; Apogonidae. The record is from RefSeq and is a predicted model, not a curated record.